RNAcentral lists this ribosomal RNA (543 nucleotides) under Limosilactobacillus fermentum. RNAcentral's name for it is "bacterial SSU rRNA". It matches the Rfam family "Bacterial small subunit ribosomal RNA", at positions 61 to 578 of the family's 1533-position model. Lineage: Bacteria; Bacillati; Bacillota; Bacilli; Lactobacillales; Lactobacillaceae. The record is from RNAcentral.
AUUGAUUGAUGGUGCUUGCACCUGAUUGAUUUUGGUCGCCAACGAGUGGCGGACGGGUGAGUAACACGUAGGUAACCUGCCCAGAAGCGGGGGACAACAUUUGGAAACAGAUGCUAAUACCGCAUAACAACGUUGUUCGCAUGAACAACGCUUAAAAGAUGGCUUCUCGCUAUCACUUCUGGAUGGACCUGCGGUGCAUUAGCUUGUUGGUGGGGUAACGGCCUACCAAGGCGAUGAUGCAUAGCCGAGUUGAGAGACUGAUCGGCCACAAUGGGACUGAGACACGGCCCAUACUCCUACGGGAGGCAGCAGUAGGGAAUCUUCCACAAUGGGCGCAAGCCUGAUGGAGCAACACCGCGUGAGUGAAGAAGGGUUUCGGCUCGUAAAGCUCUGUUGUUAAAGAAGAACACGUAUGAGAGUAACUGUUCAUACGUUGACGGUAUUUAACCAGAAAGUCACGGCUAACUACGUGCCAGCAGCCGCGGUAAUACGUAGGUGGCAAGCGUUAUCCGGAUUUAUUGGGCGUAAAGAGAGUGCAGGCGG